GAUGAACGCUGGCGGCGUGCUUAACACAUGCAAGUCGAACGGAAAGGCGAGGAUCUUGCGGCUCUGACGUUAGGGGCGGGCGGGUGAGACACACGUGGAUAACCUACCUAUAUGACUUGGAUAACUUCGGGAAAGGGGAGCAAAUACCAGAUGAUAUAUUGAACCGCAGGGGGCAAUAGAGAAAGGCGGUUUUGGGGUGGAUUCUAGAUGGAUCCGCGCCGUAUUAGGUAGUUGGGAAGGUAACGGCUUACCAAGGCAACGAUGCGUAGCCGACGUGAGGGGGUGAUCGGCCACCCUGGAACUGAGACGCGGUCCAGAGUCCUACGGGAGGCCGCAGUAGGGAAUGGUCCGCAAUGGGCGGAAGCCUGACGGAGCAGCGCCGCGUGAGUGAUGAAGGUCCUCGGAGCGUAAAACUCUCUUAUUGGGGAAGAACAAAUGUGUAAGUAACUAUGCACUGCUUGACGGUACUGGAUAAGAAAGCCCCGGCUAACUACGUG
RNAcentral lists this ribosomal RNA (497 nucleotides) under uncultured bacterium. RNAcentral describes it as "partial 16S ribosomal RNA". It matches the Rfam family "Bacterial small subunit ribosomal RNA", at positions 28 to 507 of the family's 1533-position model. The record is from RNAcentral.